CCCACACCCAUGUGUGUAGGACCCCAAAGGAUCACCAUUAAAUUUGGCACAGAUCUUUAGAAAAGUUAUUACAUGGGUGUGGGCAUUGACUUUUCUAGAGAUCUGUGCCAAAUUUAAUGGUGAUCCUUUCGGAUCCUGCGCACAUGGGUGUGGG
Molecule: microRNA precursor, 154 nt
Filed under: Amborella trichopoda
Lineage: Eukaryota; Viridiplantae; Streptophyta; Magnoliopsida; Amborellales; Amborellaceae
Description: MIR8565 microRNA precursor family
Rfam family: MIR8565 microRNA precursor family
Source: Rfam by way of RNAcentral